AAAAUUUAAACAUUUCUGGGUCACAUGCAACAAACUUCAACAUUUCCAAGGCAAACACUGGAAAUGAUGAUGUGCAUGACCUAUGGAAUAGUAUUUUGAAAAAUCUCUCAGUGAUGACUGAAAUAAAGCUGUAUUUAAAUCGGGAUAUGCCAACCUUAAGGAAAUGCAUGCUACCAGCUAGAAUCACGGACAUUUCUUUAGUGGACAGGACAGAGCGCACAAAAUACGGUGUCUCAAUGUGUACACACACAUCCAAAUAUGUAUGUGCGGUUGUUAUCAUUUUCCUGAGUGGUGGUCGAGCACGCCAGUAAAUUGGGGUGGAUUAAGCAGGUUACUAAUGGGGUGACAUUUUGACAUAAAAGUUGUUGGCAGCUAAGCAAAUUACAAGGAUACCUGGGAGCACAGCCCGAUACUUUGACACAUAUCAAUUAAAUGGCACACCUGUGGGAAACAACAUCAUCUUCUAGCGAUUGGAAGGGAUCAAAAAUUCGUUGCCGAUUUUAAAAAGGUUAUUAUCUUCUAACUUUGGUGUGACCGCGUUAAAUUAUUUCGAUAUCAUCUAUUCCGUUUCGCCACCACAUAAUUCGGUACUACACUUCCAUGUAACCCGUCAUCAAUUUCAGUUCUCAAGAAAUCAAGUCAAUUAAAUAAAUUGAUAUUAUGAUAUUCGAAUUCAAAAAUAAAAUAUAAAAAACACUACAAAUGUACAUUAGAAAAAAGUAAGUCAAAAUGGAAAAAAAUCAUGCAAAAUAAAACAUUACUAUUGUACAUUUCAAAAGUCAAAAUGAAAAUGUUAAUAUAUCACAUUUUACAUGAUUUUUUUUUGUAUAUUAUCCUUUUCGGAUAGGAGACAAUUCCGAAUUUGUAUGAAUCAUUAAAAUCAGUUCAGCGGUUCUUAAGUUAUAAGCGUAGUAACUAACACAACUUUCAUUUAUAUAUAUAGAUGUAUAGAUAGAUAAAAAAGUAUGCGUGGUCAGUUCCUCAGCCCCCAAACAAAUACUUAAGGUUGGAGGGAAGGUCAACAGUAUCUCGUGCAAUAAUUUUUAAACCAAUAUCUUGUUUAUUUGGGAAAUAUAAGGAUUUUAGAUAAAUCGAAAUAGUGGGCGUAAAAGGAGGCGUGGUCAAUAUUUUUUUCUUUAAAAACCUAACUCGGGGUAUGACAAACGUUUGUACAAAAAAUUAUGCAAAUCGGUCCAGCCGUUUUCAACUGAUUCCGUUACCAACAAACAACAAUUGAUUUUUAUAUGAUAUGAAGCGCCGAGGAUUUUUCCAAUGUUCCCAGCGUAUAAUAUUUUCAACACUUUACUCAUUAUGUUGCUUGCCUUUCACAUUGUUUGGACGUACAUGAUACUUAAGAUUGUAAUAAAUUCUUUACAAAAGGGGUUGGUGAGCAUUUUGAUUUAAGAACACAUUGCAGUCUCAUUGAUAAUUCAUUUCCUUUACAGAUGUCUGGUGAUAUAAGAUCGAGCGACAGCGAAAUCUCUGAAAAAAAUCGCUCAAUAAUGGUGACGUUAAACCUGUAGAUAAAAUCCAAAAGAGAGCUCUAACCAAAACAGAAUAACCAAAUAAGCAUAAUUAUUUCCUCUGUUUGUAUUUCUUUUGUAUGUUAUGUACAAACUAUGUAUGUUGUAGUAUAUUUAAAAAGUUUUUAAUGUCAAGAAUCCAGGUAUAAGUAAAUUGUUUAUUUUAUUGUUGCUUAUAAUUUAAAAAUUGUAGUAAGUUAUCACUAAAGUAUGCGUUUUAGAGAGUUGCUUAAUUGAAUGAAUAUAAAUAUAGCCCAAAAUACGAGGAUUUAGAUUCAUAUUGCCAAAAUACAACUAUAUAUUUAAAAAUAAAAGGUCGUGUGAAAUUAAUUAGGGUUUCUUUAAAAUAUAAGUACAUUUUCUGCAUUUGGCGCUUAUUCCAGUUUGCAUUGUGUCUCCUGAUGGAAAACAAUCUGGAACUUCUUAAUGCGCUGACUCAUCUGGUCUACAAAUUUGUUGACUACUGGUUCCAUUGCGGCCUGAAGCUGUUAAUGUGUCGUUAAACGUAAAAUGGAUAUGUUGCACUUAGCAAUCUUAAUUUGAAUAAAUUCAAUAUGUAUAUUUAAUAUACCAUGUAUCUAUUAAAAUCUUAAAUACCCUCCACCACACGGAAACUACUUGCAAAAUUUACAGCGUUACCUAAAAUUCGACGUUGCGCAUAAAUUUUUUUGUCCACAAAAAUAAUUGUUUUCAAAUUUUAA
This is a long non-coding RNA of Musca domestica (house fly), 2224 nucleotides long. RefSeq lists it as uncharacterized. The record is from RefSeq and is a predicted model, not a curated record. NCBI's taxonomy places the organism in Eukaryota, Metazoa, Arthropoda, Insecta, Diptera, Muscidae. The transcript has 5 exons.